UGAGUAACACGUAUCCAACCUGCCGAUAACUCCGGAAUAGCCUUUCGAAAGAAAGAUUAAUACCGGAUAGCAUACGAAUAUCGCAUGAUAUUUUUAUUAAAGAAUUUCGGUUAUCGAUGGGGAUGCGUUCCAUUAGUUUGUUGGCGGGGUAACGGCCCACCAAGACUACGAUGGAUAGGGGUUCUGAGAGGAAGGUCCCCACAUUGGAACUGAGACACGGUCCAAACUCCUACGGGAGGCAGCAUG
RNAcentral lists this ribosomal RNA (246 nucleotides) under uncultured bacterium. RNAcentral's name for it is "partial 16S ribosomal RNA". It matches the Rfam family "Bacterial small subunit ribosomal RNA", at positions 107 to 353 of the family's 1533-position model. The record is from RNAcentral.